Molecule: ribosomal RNA, 400 nt
Filed under: phytoplankton environmental sample
Lineage: Eukaryota
Description: partial small subunit ribosomal RNA
Rfam family: Eukaryotic small subunit ribosomal RNA
Source: RNAcentral
AGCUCCAAUAGCGUAUAUUAAAGUUGCUGCAGUUAAAAAGCUCGUAGUUGGAUCUCGGGUAUCGUCUCGGUGGUCCUGUUCACGCAGGCACUGCCUUGAUGACCUAACCGAUGGUGAAACGACCCCGAGUGCCCUUCACUGGGUGCUCGUGGGUGGCCAUUGCGUUUACUGUGAAAAAAUUAGAGUGUUCAAAGCAGGCUUCUAUAGCUCGAAUAGUCGUGCAUGGAAUAAUGGAAAAUGACACUGGCGCAUUUCCGUUGGUCUCUGUGACUGGUGUAAUGAUUAAGAGGGACUGCCGGGGGCAUUGGUAUGGCGGGGUUAGAGGUGAAAUUCUUGGAUCCUCGCCAGACCAACAAAAGCGAAAGCAUUUGCCAAGAAUGUCUUCAUUAAUCAAGAACGA